RNAcentral lists this small RNA (29 nucleotides) under Bombyx mori (domestic silkworm). Its description in RNAcentral is "ovarian small RNA-22828". Lineage: Eukaryota; Metazoa; Arthropoda; Insecta; Lepidoptera; Bombycidae. The record is from RNAcentral.
UAGUAAAGUACAAAGGAGCUCUAUAUUAU